Hylaeus anthracinus is the source of this 827-nucleotide long non-coding RNA. RefSeq lists it as uncharacterized. The record is from RefSeq and is a predicted model, not a curated record. Lineage: Eukaryota; Metazoa; Arthropoda; Insecta; Hymenoptera; Colletidae. The transcript is spliced from 3 exons.
UAACCACAUUAAUAAGAGUUUAGAAUUUUAAAUAUUUGAAACUGUGCCAAAAAACAUUACAAAUCUAAAACAUUUGAUAAUUAUUUCUGUUCAUUUUGUAGUUCUACACAAACUUGUAUUUGCUACUAAGAAUUCUUUAUAAAAUUAUCAUGUACUAUAUAAAUUUGGAAGUACUAUUCAUUUUUAAUAUACGUAAACAAAUAAAAAUACAUAUUUUUUAAACAAAUAAAUUUAUAAUACCAAAAAUUAAAAAUACUGUUUUGUCUCAUGUUAUGCGAGGGGGUGAAGUUUGCUGUGGAGAGGCAUGCCAGGCACACAUAAUGGAACAACACGAAGAAAUUGAUGAAUAUCAUAAAAUAGUUAAUAAUUUAUAAAAACAUACCCUGUCCAAGGCCAAGUCCACCAUACACUCCAAGAUACAUAUCUUGUUUUGCUCUAUCGAAUGUAUUAUUAUUACUAUAAUCUGUUAAGUUAUCAUCUGACCACAGACCGAGCCAAGCAUUUGAACCAAUGCUAAAUCCUUGGUAAACAGCAUUCAUUAUGAUAGUUGUUAUCGAUAAAAACCAUCCAAUGGACUUGAAGUAAUUUUGAUCACCUGCAGGCAAUAUUUUUAAAUCUGGACCCAACGCACAUGCGUCGACUACACGAUUAUACAAGCUUUUAUGAAGCGGUUUCCCAAACAAAACAUUAUCUUGCAACGACGCAUUUUGUAUCCAUGCCUGUUGAGAUACAUAUGCAAUGGAACCCUAUUACACAUAAAAAGAGGCUUCUAUAUAAAUAUGUUCUUAUAUAUCGUACGGAUUAUAUUAAAGGUAUUUACUUUUGUA